RNAcentral lists this ribosomal RNA (558 nucleotides) under uncultured bacterium. RNAcentral's name for it is "bacterial SSU rRNA". It matches the Rfam family "Archaeal small subunit ribosomal RNA", at positions 313 to 871 of the family's 1478-position model. The record is from RNAcentral.
GCCCUUCCUCCUACGGGUGGCAGCAGGCGCGAAAACUUUACAAUGCCGGCAACGGCGAUAAGGGGACCUCGAGUGCCAGGUUACAAAUCUGGCUGUCGUGAUGCCUAAAAAGCAUUGCAUAGCAAGGGCCGGGCAAGACCGGUGCCAGCCGCCGCGGUAACACCGGCGGCUCGAGUGGUAACCGUUAUUAUUGGGUCUAAAGGGUCUGUAGCCGGCCGGAUAAGUCUCUUGAGAAAUCCAGCAGCUCAACUGUUGGGCUUUCAGGAGAUACUGUUCGGCUCGAGGCCGGGAGAGGUGAGAGGUACUUCAGGGGUAGGGGUGAAAUCUUGUAAUCCUUGAAGGACCACCAGUGGCGAAGGCGUCUCACCAGAACGGACCUGACGGCAAGGGACGAAAGCUAGGGGCACGAACCGGAUUAGAUACCCGGGUAGUCCUAGCCGUAAACGAUACUCGCUAGGUGUCGGCCACGGUGCGACCGUUGUCGGUGCCGUAGGGAAGCCGUGAAGCGAGCCACCUGGGAAGUACGGCCGCAAGGCUGAAACUUAAAGGAAUUGACGG